AACCUAUGGUGAGGGCACCUUCUCAAAAUGUCCUUGUAUCUCUCAUGCAUCGUAAAGUGUUUCUAAAUCCAUCUGCACAAAAGAAGAGAUAUCAUUACGUAAUUU
Molecule: small nucleolar RNA, 105 nt
Filed under: Gossypium arboreum
Lineage: Eukaryota; Viridiplantae; Streptophyta; Magnoliopsida; Malvales; Malvaceae
Description: Plant small nucleolar RNA R71
Rfam family: Plant small nucleolar RNA R71
About the family: R71 is a member of the C/D box family of snoRNAs containing the C (UGAUGA) and D (CUGA) box motifs.
Source: Rfam by way of RNAcentral